CAGUGCAGUCACCCAUAAAGUAGAAAGCACUACUAACAGCACUGGAGGGUGUAGUGUUUCCUACUUUAUGGAUGAGUGUACUGU
Erinaceus europaeus (western European hedgehog) is the source of this 84-nucleotide non-coding RNA. NCBI's taxonomy places the organism in Eukaryota, Metazoa, Chordata, Mammalia, Eulipotyphla, Erinaceidae. The record is from Rfam.